AUACAGAGGGUGCGAGCGUUAAUCGGAAUUACGGGGCGUAAAGCGCGCGUAGGCGGCUUGGUCAGUCGGAUGUGAAAGCCCCGGGCUCAACCUGGGAAUGGCAUUCGAUACUGCCAGGCUAGAGUAUGGGAGAGGGAAGUGGAAUUUCCGGUGUAGCGGUGAAAUGCGUAGAUAUCGGAAGGAACACCAGUGGCGAAGGCGACUUCCUGGCCCAAUACUGACGCUGAGGUGCGAAAGCGUGGGGAGCGAACAGGAUUAGAUACCCUAGUAGUCC
Molecule: ribosomal RNA, 274 nt
Filed under: uncultured bacterium
Lineage: Bacteria
Description: partial 16S ribosomal RNA
Rfam family: Bacterial small subunit ribosomal RNA
Source: RNAcentral